This 218-nucleotide long non-coding RNA is filed under the name Ananas comosus (pineapple). RNAcentral describes it as "long non-coding RNA (ACOM_LNC043298)". Lineage: Eukaryota; Viridiplantae; Streptophyta; Magnoliopsida; Poales; Bromeliaceae. The record is from RNAcentral.
CUCCUCUUGCUAGUCCAUGACAGUUUGUUUUCUUUCUAGCCCUUCGGCUCCUUUAGAUCAUUCUGAAGUUUUUGACAGUUGCGUUUUAUUAUGCCCUUUACUAUGGCAGUAGGAGCACUCUACCUCUAGUACCAUCUUCUUCUGCCUAUUUACGGUCACUGAUAUUUCCACUAUUUUUCUUUCGAUUUUACCACCAGAGCUAUAUUUUGACUCUGCAU